UACGGAGGGUGCGAGCGUUGUCCGGAAUCACUGGGCGUAAAGGGCGCGUAGGUGGCAUGGUUAGCGUGCGGUGAAAGCCCGGGGCUCAACUCCGGGUCGGCCGUGCGAACUGCCAUGCUGGAGCACGGUAGAGGCCAAUGGAAUUCCGGGUGUAGCGGUGGAAUGCGUAGAUAUCCGGAAGAACACCGGUGGCGAAGGCGGUUGGCUGGGCCGUUGCUGACACUGAUGCGCGACAGCGUGGGGAGCAAACAGG
This 253-nucleotide ribosomal RNA is filed under the name uncultured prokaryote. RNAcentral describes it as "partial 16S ribosomal RNA". It matches the Rfam family "Bacterial small subunit ribosomal RNA", at positions 524 to 776 of the family's 1533-position model. The record is from RNAcentral.